AUCCAGCUGACGAGUCCCGUAUGGGACAAAACACUCGUCCUAGAU
Non-coding RNA from Schistosoma rodhaini, 45 nucleotides. Lineage: Eukaryota; Metazoa; Platyhelminthes; Trematoda; Strigeidida; Schistosomatidae. The record is from Rfam.